Molecule: long non-coding RNA, 829 nt
Organism: Phyllostomus discolor (pale spear-nosed bat)
Lineage: Eukaryota; Metazoa; Chordata; Mammalia; Chiroptera; Phyllostomidae
Exons: 2
Source: RefSeq, a predicted model, not a curated record
CUAAAAGAAGUCCAACAGGGAGGGCCACAGGAGACGGGAGAGAGGGGGAGCCUAGACAGUGAAUGGGCCAACCAGAGCAGGCGCAGAAGACGCGCGCGCGCACGCACACCAAUCAGAGUGGAAGCUGGGGACAACCAAUCCGGUUGGUGGAUGGGAACUGCAGACCCCGCGAAUACAGAGUCGUGGCGCAGGGAGAGGGGUGGAGGGGUGGAUGGGUGGGUCACCCCACCCUGAGACUGAGAAUCUGGGUGUGAAGUUGAAGGACAUCCAUCUGGAAACGGAUCUUUGCCAUCUCCUCUGGCUUCUACUUUACGUGCGGGGAAACUGAAGCCAACAGGAGCCCUUCUGCCUUGUUCUGUCUCUCGAACGCAUUGAGAUCCAGGACGCUGAGGGGAAGAAAGGAAAGAUGGGAAGAUGUGCUGAGGUCCUGUUCCAGAGCCCUGCAGCCCCCAGUGGUGGCAGGUGUAGGGCCAUUGGAAACCAUGAGUGAGCAGAGGUCCAGAGGAAGUAGAAACUAAGAGCUGGCAGAAGCUAUGUGGUGGCGGCUAUGAAGUAAUGUGAGGCAAGAUGAAAUAUGUACAAGUUGAAAUCAGGAGGAUACAGAAGCCAUCAACUAGCAAAAGCUUCAGAGGGGUAGAAAAAGCCAGUCAACAGCGAGAGCAGAGUCACAUUAAUAGGGGUCAUCAGAGAGAACCCGGAUUCCCCGUAGCUGGCUGUCCCCUGAGUUCGCAACAACCUUCCAGUUCCAGCUCCCUGGAUCCAUAAGAGUGGUAUUAUCCCAUCCUUAUUGUUGCACAUGAAUUCUUAUAAUAAACUUCCUGUCAUUUGA